CAGAGAAUAGUUUAAGAAAAAUAUUAAUUUUGGAGAUUAAUGAUAGAAUAUUUAUUUUUUCUCUGA
This 66-nucleotide transfer RNA is filed under the name Eurysternus sp. KM-2017. RNAcentral describes it as "tRNA-Pro". The record is from RNAcentral. Lineage: Eukaryota; Metazoa; Arthropoda; Insecta; Coleoptera; Scarabaeidae.